Molecule: long non-coding RNA, 2939 nt
Filed under: Aquilegia coerulea
Lineage: Eukaryota; Viridiplantae; Streptophyta; Magnoliopsida; Ranunculales; Ranunculaceae
Description: long non-coding RNA (ACOE_LNC000872)
Source: RNAcentral
UUGUGAUAGUCUUCAGGUUGGAAGAACAACAACUACAUCCCUUGCUUGCUUUGUUGGCUUGUUGCACUUUCCUCCUGAACAUAUAGAGCCUUCAGAAUAAAAUCAGGUGGAACAUUGUUUAAAAUAUGACACAAGGCAAAACUUUGUCAACAAAGAAUAAGCAUAAAUCAAGGUUAAUCGUUGUCAAGUGGAUAUGCACUAAUUGGACUCCUAAUUAGAGUACUUUUUACAAUAAAAGCACAUCUUAUUAAACAAAUCUGAAUUAGAGAAUUAUUUAUUUCAUUAAACUGUGUUCUUCUUUUACUAUGGUAGGUGAGCUCUGAUAACAAAGCUGUGAAACAAAACUGAAAACUCAUUUCAAGACAUUAAUGUAUUUGAUGUUAUUGUCUGUACAGACAAAACUUGCUAUAAUUAUUGGGAAAGGGAAACUGGCAGUACUGAGAAAUAAUGUCACUUCAUUUUGUAGAGGGAGUGAGAAACUGCAGGUCUCUCACAACUGAUCUCAGGUGUGUUGGCACAACUUUUAUGCUCGGUAAAGUGUAUGUACAAUGUGUGGUUCUGAAAAGAAUAAGUGAGAAUUCAAAGCAUUUAUAUACCCUGAAUCUUCUUGAGUGAUUGCAUUCAUUCAAGAAAGAGUUUCUGCAUCAGAUUGCAUUUAUGUAGUUUAACAAGAUCCAUCAAACAAUUUACAGUGAUGAUUUUAACAGGUGACUAAUCAAAAGAAUAGAACCAUACUGAUGAUUUUAAUGCCAAAGAAACGUGUUUUUGAGUGAAAAAAAAAAAGGUUACCUCGUGGCAAUGCUUUUGAUUAGCUGAUAUGCUUCUCACUGUUAUUCUGCCUUUUCUAGGGUAGCAUCUCAGGCAAAUCACCAAGGAAGCUUCACUUGUCAAUGUUCAAGACAUGCUUUCUAACAUCUUACUGUUACCUCUGCAUUGCAACCUACAAACCAAUUUACACAUGCCAGAAUCAUAUGAAUAUACAGUAAGAAACUUACUAUUCAUGCCAAUGUGGAAUAAAACUACUAAUUUCAGUAAAAAGAAAGUGACAUAUGACUUGCUCUAAUCAAGUUAUGCAUAACAUGUUACUGCAAUUUUAUUUCAGUUGCAAAUGGUGCCGCUGAAAGGAUAUACUUUUUUCUCCUCACUUUGCACUAAUCAAGUUUCGGAACUCGUAUAUUUUUCGUUGCAACUAGUAGUUUCUGAUAAGAUGAAAGUACUGGAUGUAUCUGUGUGCUUCCAAAGUGAACUAGAAUCAAAUGUGUAAUAUGCACCUCCCUUCUAAAAUUGAUCUGGUAACAAAUUAACCAGGCACGACACUUCUAGAAUAACCAGAUUACUUCAGAUCCCCAAAAAACAUAAUAAGGUGGAGGCCUCUAAGAAUAUGUCACAAGAUUGCCCAUCCCCUCUAAUGAGUCAAAUGUUCUCUGAAUAUUGCAUUCUUGCAAAUGGAAAGGUACCCUACACUUUACAAGCUCACAUCUAAUGGCCUGUGCUACCUACCAAAUAUUUCAUAUAAUUCACUUGCAAGUGGGGAAAGGCCAAAGAAAGAAAGACCAUUCCCUCUGACAAACAGCAAAUUUAGAAGACCUGCAUGUUGUGUCAUGAAAAGUUUAUUCAUGAAGAAGAAAAUUGCAGAUAAAGAUGAUAACUGCUUAACCGUCAGGGUUGUGCAACCAUGAGAUAUCACCUUCCAUCAUAUUCUAUGGUUACGAAGGAGCAAAUCACCAAUAAAUCUAUUGUAGAACUAUAAUCAAUAUCAUAGCAUCAGUAAAGAAAAUAACUCUGGGAAGUAACAAAUAGUACAUAUAUGCAUAGGAAGCAUAUAAACAUUAGCCCUGAUGAAUGAAGGUGUCUGUGAAGCAUUAUUAUGUUGAGUGGUUAAAAUAAAGCUGCCCAGGAGAACUCAGCCAACAAAAAGGAUGUUGUGGACUUGUGAUGAACCAUUCUCCAUGAUAUUUUCGACAGCAACAAUAACAACCAUCACUUCUGCAAGAUAAGUCAUAAGGGCUCAACUAUGAGGAGACUCCCACUGUAACUCAGUAACAGCAAUUAGGUACCUAGCCUACCUGAGUGCCCAUUGUCCAACAAUCAGACUCUUAAUGAAUUCCAAUUAUCAAUUAUCACGAUUCCUAAAGCAAAACCCCUGAAACUGUUUUCUCUUUUCCAAGCUUCAGUGAACCACUACAUGCACAAGGCCACUAUAUCUGCCUUCCACUUUCCAAAACAUGGUCUCACUUAACUCUUUGAAGUAGGUCGGGGUGGGGGGAAGGAAGCACUACAAGAGAGCUAAUUCUUGAAGGCUUCUUCCUUAACCUUCAUUCCUUAAUAACUUGACCACAUGUAAAAGUACUAAGUUAUAAUUGCAAACACUGUCACACAUGUAAUAGUACUGCAACAUCAAAGAUAGAAAUGAUAGACAGUACAACACAAUUGCAUAAGAACUAAAUUCUAUUUAAAUCGCGUAUGAUCUUAAUGAAAUCCUUUCUACUUUUAGCUGGGACAUUGCCUCAAAGCGUUUAAAAAAUGUUCAGGAAUUCAUUCAUCAAAUUGCCAGCCUUUGGCUAUUAAGAAUUAAGGUAUUUCAGGAAGGAAAAAAAAAAAUCACAAUUUCAAGUUUUAAUACAACUAUGGCUUCCACUAUAUUGCUGGAAAAGAAAAAAAAUAUUCAAAUAUGUGAAUUGAAGAUCAUACCUUUUCUGUCACUGGGAUUCUGUUUUAACUCCUUGCAAUUCCAAGACAAGCCUUAAUUCUAACUAGAAAAAAAAAAAAAAAAAAUCACACAUCAAACAGUGGCAGCAGUAGAAGAAGAAGAAGUUAAUUUUGUUAUUGUUUUUCUCAUUCAUUGAUUCUGGUCUCCAGACACCACUCUUUAGUUGGAAAAAAAAAAAAAAAAAAAAAAAAAAAAACAUUAUGAAUUAACUAAUCAGUCAAAGCUUUCA